AAAGUAGGGAGUGCCCCUUCGGGGAGCCUCAAGACAGGUGCUGCAUGGCUGUCGUCAGCUCGUGUCGUGAGAUGCUGGGUUAAGUCCCGCAACGAGCGCAACCCCUAUUGUUAGUUGCCAUCAUUCAGUUGGGCACUCUAGCGAGACUGCCGGUAAUAACCGGAGGAAGUGGGAUGACGUCAAAUCAUCAUGCCCCUUAUGACCUGGGCUACACACGUGCUACAAUGGUUGGUACAACGAGUUGCGAGUCGGUGACGGCGAGCUAAUCUCUUAAAGCCAAUCUCAGUUCGGAUUGUAGGCUGCAACUCGCCUACAUGAAGUCGGAAUCGCUAGUAAUCGCGGAUCAGCACGCCGCGGUGAAUACGUUCCCGGGCCUU
Molecule: ribosomal RNA, 377 nt
Filed under: uncultured Streptococcus sp.
Lineage: Bacteria; Bacillati; Bacillota; Bacilli; Lactobacillales; Streptococcaceae
Description: bacterial SSU rRNA
Rfam family: Bacterial small subunit ribosomal RNA
Source: RNAcentral